AUGGGGGAAGAUGGUGGUGCGUGUGAUGUGAGCUUGGGUUUGGGCUGUGGUGGGGGUAUCUCUUUUUCAUUUUUUUUUAUUUUUUCUGUAGAUAGAUGGAUGGAUGGAUGUGGGAUGGUGAGAUGGAUGGAUGGAUGGAUGGGCGCCAUGUCAUCGAUCCGUGGGAAGAGUCCUGAUUGGUUCAGAAAACUAGUGAUUUAA
Molecule: ribosomal RNA, 201 nt
Filed under: Triticum aestivum (bread wheat)
Lineage: Eukaryota; Viridiplantae; Streptophyta; Magnoliopsida; Poales; Poaceae
Description: partial small subunit ribosomal RNA
Source: RNAcentral